AGAGUUUGAUCAUGGCUCAGGACGAACGCUGGCGGCGUGCUUAACACAUGCAAGUCGAACGGUGACGAGGAGCUUGCUCUUCUGAUCAGUGGCGAACGGGUGAGUAACACGUGAGCAACCUACCCUUGACUCUGGGAUAACAGUUGGAAACAGCUGCUAAUACCGGAUACGACCCCGGCAGUCAUCUGCUGGGGUGGAAAGCUCCGACGGUCAAGGAUGGGCUCGCGGCCUAUCAGCUUGUUGGUGAGGUAACGGCUCACCAAGGCGACGACGGGUAGCCGGCCUGAGAGGGCGACCGGCCACACUGGGACUGAGAUACGGCCCAGACUCCUACGGGAGGCAGCAGUGGGGAAUAUUGCACAAUGGGCGAAAGCCUGAUGCAGGCACGCCGCGUGCGGGGAUGACGGCCUUCGGGGUUUGUAAACCGCUUUCACCCAUGACGAAGUGAAAAUGACGGUAGUGGGAGAAGAAGCACCGGCUAACUACGUGCCAGCAGCCGCGGUGAUACGUAGGGUGCGAGCGUUGUCCGGAAUUAUUGGGCGCAAAGAGCUUGUAGGCGGUCCGUUGCGUCGGAAGUGAAAACUCAGGGCUUAACCCUGAGCCUGCUUUCGAUACGGGCGGACUUGAGGAAUGUAGGGGAGAACGGAAUUCCUGGUGGAGCGGUGGAAUGCGCAGAUAUCAGGAGGA
This 687-nucleotide ribosomal RNA is filed under the name uncultured bacterium. RNAcentral describes it as "bacterial SSU rRNA". It matches the Rfam family "Bacterial small subunit ribosomal RNA", at positions 8 to 705 of the family's 1533-position model. The record is from RNAcentral.